AUUCCCAGUCACCCACUCACUCAGAAAGCCGGGAGUCAUCGGACACCUUGCUGCAGGCAGAGCUCAGAGGAUCUUGGCAUCACCCACCAAAGUUAGCUGAAAGCAGGGCACUCCUGGAUAAAGCAGCUUCACUCAACUCUGGGGAAUGCUACCAUUUUUUUUCCAAAGUAGAAAGGAAGCACUUCUGAGCCAGUGACCACUGAAAGAAACCAGCCUUUUCAGCAUCUCACCCAUUAGCAGCCCCAUCACCCAGUGAUCAGUCGCCUCAGUAAAGCAGAUCUGUGGAUGGGGAGCCUACGGGUGAUGAACACUCUUCCUGAUCCUCUCCUCUAGAAUUCAUCUCCUCCUGCUAGCAGCCGCGUCCUGGAGGAGCAGCGGAUGGGGAAUCCAUUCUGUUUCUUCCUGGUGUUUAGGAAGUUGCCCCACACACAGAUUGCCCCGAUGUCCAACCAGAAGAAGUGAAACUGCUGCUGGGUCUGGAGAGGUGAAGACCCGUGGCCAGCUUCUGUUGUUGCCAUCGGCCAUUGCUUUUUGUUCGCUUGCUUUUGGUUUUGCAAGAAGAGCGGCCUCUGUCUCUGAUCUGCUUCAAAUCAUCAUUCCAUCAGUGACAGAAGUGGCUGUUCCAUCAGUGGUCGCAGCCAGUUCAGCUCCUGCAUCCAUCCCCAAGUGUUCUGAGUGGAAUUUGAGGCCUCCCCAACCACCUACCAAAAAAGGAGGGUGAAAUGAAAGGAAGAAGAAAAACUCAGCAUUCUUUCCUCUGACAAAGAGUAAAACGACAAGGAAUAUCGGCCUGAAUUCUCUUCCCAAGAAGAAAGAAAGCACACCAACGCAGGCAUUUGUCUUCUGUCCAUGGUGCUGAAGUUUAUUCACUUUCAAACCACUUUCAGUAACAGGUCUGCGUUGGACACGGCAUUGUACAUGGGAUUAGCUCUGG
RNAcentral lists this antisense RNA (934 nucleotides) under Homo sapiens (human). Its description in RNAcentral is "partial NPPA antisense transcript isoform NPPA-AS.4". The stretch from base 412 to 584 matches the Rfam family "NPPA antisense RNA 1 conserved region 1". Lineage: Eukaryota; Metazoa; Chordata; Mammalia; Primates; Hominidae. The record is from RNAcentral.